UACGUAGGAGACGAGCGUUGUCCGGAGUUACUGGGCGUAAAGGGUGCGCAGGCGGCCAAGCGCGUCGCUAGUGAAAUCUCCCGGCUCAACUGGGAGGGUGGUAGCGAUACGGCAUGGCUUGAGGCUCGGUGAGGGGCGUGGAAUUCCGGGUGGAGCGGUGAAAUGCGUAGAGAUCCGGAGGAACACCAACGGCGUAGGCAGCGCCCUAGACGAGACCUGACGCUCAGGCACGAAAGCUCGGGGAGCGAACAGG
RNAcentral lists this ribosomal RNA (253 nucleotides) under uncultured prokaryote. Its description in RNAcentral is "partial 16S ribosomal RNA". It matches the Rfam family "Bacterial small subunit ribosomal RNA", at positions 524 to 776 of the family's 1533-position model. The record is from RNAcentral.